Piliocolobus tephrosceles (Ugandan red Colobus) is the source of this 1576-nucleotide long non-coding RNA. NCBI's taxonomy places the organism in Eukaryota, Metazoa, Chordata, Mammalia, Primates, Cercopithecidae. The record is from Ensembl.
UUUUUUAUUGUUAUAUAUAAACCUGUCUUUUUAUAAAUAUAUUCAUUUUUUUUUUUUUUUAUAACUUUUUUUUAUAACUAACUUUUUUUAUUUUACCUUUUUUUCUUUCUGUCUUAUGUUCUAACUAGUUUCUUUCUUACACCCUAUACCCCAAAAAAAAAAAAAAAUAAAAAAAAAAAAAAAAAAAAAAAAAAAUUGCUUCUUGUUUUUUUUCUUCUUUCAUUUUGUAAUUUUAUACUAAUAAUAUGUGAUGAUAAAAUACAUUAAAAAAAAAAAAAAGAAAAAAAAAGUGUUUUUUUUUUCUUUUUUUUAUAAUUCAGAAGAAACAUUUAAUAAUAGAUAAAGUAUACUAAUAGAUGCAUAAUUAAAUUAGUAAACGACAUAGUAGUAAAUAUAUUUUUUUAUAAGUUCAUAUUAUCAAAUUUAAAAUUACAACUAAAGCAUUUAAACAAUGUUAUAAGUUAGAGUAACUGUUAGAUAAAUAUAAAAAAGAAGAUAAUUGAACAUGCAUAUAUAUAUAUAUAUGUGUGUAUAUAACUUCUCAUUGCUACACUAUAUUUUAAAUGGCAUAUAAACAAAAAUAUUAGAAUGAAUCUUUUGUAGAAAAAAAAUAUACGAUAUCAUUCAUUCAUUAAAUUAUAAAAGCAAAAACAUACAAGAAAAAAAAAAAGAAACACAAAAAAUAAUGGAAUUACCACGAGAAAUUAUAAAAUGGCUGCAAAAUUUAAAUUUGCCUUACUCUUUUACAAAUAUUAAAAUUGCCAGUAAUGGGAUAAUCAUUUCGGAAAUUAUAAACAUAUAUAUGCCUAAACGCAUUAAUAUGAACAGCUUAGAAAAUGGUUCUAGUAAAGAGAUAAAAAAAAAAAACUGGCAAAUCAUAAAAAAAACUCUAACCAGUUUUAAUAUACAAUUUGAUGAACUGUCAGUAAUUAAUUCAGACAAAGAAGCAUUAAAAAAUUUAUUCAUUGAUUUGUACGAAUAUUUAACAAAAAAAAAAUGUAGAGAUGUGUACUAUAUUGAAAGUGAAAAAGACAAAGAAUUGAGUAUUCCGUCAUUUGCAAGAUCUACUAUAGCGCAGAAAGUUCGAGAAAGUAAUGUUGAUGACAUAGUAAAUGAAGAGCAAAAGUUAAUAAGUACUUACGAAUUAGUGAAGCAAGAAGAAUAUUAUAAUGCAAUGAUAAGAGAAAAAGAAAAGUGGCAAAAUGAAAAUAAAAAUAAACAAAAAAAUAUAAACAAAGAAACAGCUGUUUCUGAUGCUUCAUUUUUCAACGAAUUAGAAAAAACUAGUAGCAUUAUAACUAUUAAAGAUAUUAAUGAAUGUGAGGAUUAUACAGACAUUCAAACGCUUGAUUCAUUCAUUAAUGAAAAAAAUAAAAUUGACGGAACACAUGUCGGAAGAGGCUUAAAUUUUUUAAAUGGAAACGAAAAAAAAAAAUUCAUUAAAACAGUAUGAUGAUAUCAGUUUAGAACUUCUUAUAUGCAAUGUGUUGUUGUCUAAUAUUUCUGAUUAUACAAGAGGGGAAGAAGAUAAACAUGAACAAAUAAAAACUCUUAAUAAAAUAAAUAAUAUUUUUUG